RNAcentral lists this long non-coding RNA (2814 nucleotides) under Amborella trichopoda. RNAcentral's name for it is "long non-coding RNA (ATRI_LNC000657)". The record is from RNAcentral. Lineage: Eukaryota; Viridiplantae; Streptophyta; Magnoliopsida; Amborellales; Amborellaceae.
UCGUUUCUUCUCCUACAUGUCAUUCUUGUUCUUCCUCUUCCUUCUUUGCCCUUUACUUUUGUUGCCUAUCCACUCUUUCUCACUCUUUCUUUCAUCUCUGUUUCUCUUCUGUUGUGUAUCUCUUUUGUAAUCUUUCAUUUAUUCGAUGAAGUCACUAUUAAAAAAAAAAAAAAGAGAGGAAGGAAGGAAGGGGAAGAAAGUUAAUCAAGACGAAUACGUACGACAAUUUUAUGACCUAAUCUUUACCACUUAAGUAUUGUCAAGAUAUGUUGCUCUUUUUGGGCACAUUUGGUUUAUAAGAAAAUGAUUUCUUAAAAAUUAUUUUCUUAGAAAAUAACUAAUUUCUCAUAUUUGGUUUGUGACACGAUUUGAAAAUAUUUUUACCUUUUGAAAUUAAUUUCCAUAAAAAGUAUCCAAAAUCUACAAAAUUGAAAUCUAAACCACAUAGGUAUGAUUCCAAUUUCUUUUAAAAUAAUCGGGGGUGGGGGUGUAAGUAGGGCUACCAUAGGGUCAGGGCGGCCUGAGGACCGGCAAAGCCUGAAAAUACUUUGGCCCAGCCUGAAAGUUGUUCCAAAAAAGGCCCAGCCCAUCCUGCCCUGAAAAGAAAAUCUAUAAUGCCUGAGCCUGGCUUAGUCCAAUAAGAAGCCUUUUUCUUUUUAUUUAUUUAUUUAUUUUUCUCACUCUUCAAACUUUUAUUGUUUGUAGUAAGCCAAAAAUAAAACAUAUGCUGAAACAUUUUUUACAAAAUUUAAAAUAAUAUUGAGUUUCUAGAUAAAGAGAUUGGGUUAUGAGAGAGAGAGAGAGAUUGGGAGAGAGAGAGAGAAAACAUGUUCUUAAAGAGAGAGAGAGAGAUUAAGUUUUUAGAGAGAGAACGAAAGAUUGGGUUUUUAGAAAAAGAUGGAUUUUUAGAGAGAGAAUGAGUUUUUAGAGUGACAAAGAGAGCUUGGGUUUCAAGAGAGAUUGGAUUUUUAGAGGAAAUGGGUUUUUAGAAAGAGAAAGAGAGAUUGGGUUUCUAGAGAGAGUGGGUUUUAGAGAGAGAUUGGGUUUUUAGAGAGAUAAUAGAUUUUAGAGAGAUUGGAGUUUUAGAGAAAGGAAAAGAGAUUGAGUUUCUAGAGAGAGAAUGAGGUUUUAAAAAGAGAAAGACAAUGAGUUUCUAGAUAGAGAGAGAAUGAGUUCUUAAAGAGAGAUUAGGUCUCUAGAGAGAAUGGAUUAUUAGAGAGAGAAAGAGAGAAUGAAUUUUUAGACAGACAAUGAGUUUUAUUGAGAGAGAGAUUGAAUUUCUAGAGAGAAUGAAUAUUUAGGGAGAGAAAUCGAGAUUAUAUUUCUAGAGAGAAUGGGUUCUUAAAUAGAAAAAGAGAUUGGAUUUCUAGAGAGAGAGAAUGGGUUUUUAGAGAGAGAUUGGUUUUGAGAGAGAGAAUGGGUUUUAGAGAGAAAGAGAGAUUGGGUUUUUAGAUGGAGAAUGUAUUUUUAAAAAGUGAAAGAGAGAAUGAGUUUUUAGAAAGAGAAAGAGAGAUUGAGUUUCUAGAGAGAGAUGAGUUUUUAGAUAAAGAAAACGAGAAUGUAUUUCUAGAAAGAGAAAGAGAGAUUGAGUUUUUAGAGAGAGAAUGGGUUUUUAGAGAGAUAAAGAGAGGUUAGGUUUCUAAGGAGAGAGAAAGGGUUUUAGUGAGAUAGAGAUUGAGCAUUUAGAAAGAGAAAUAGAGAUUGAGUUUCUAGCGAGAGAGAGAAUGGGUUUUAGAGAGAGCAAGAGAGAUUGAGUUUCUAGAGAAAGAAAGGGUUUUUAGAGGGAGAGGAUGAAUUUUUAAAGAGAGACAAAGAGAUUGGGUUUCUAUGGAGAGAUAAAGGAUUUUUAGAGAGAAAAAGAGAGAUUGGGUUUUUAGUGAGAGAGAAUAGGUUUUAAAUUUUCUAAAAAAUAUUGUCGCAUCUGUUUUUUUUUUUGACAAGUUUUCUAUGCAUCCCUUGCAAUAUAAAGCUUAUAUACUUCUCCUUAUCCAAUCGUCCAUUCUGAAUGGAGGGCUAAGAUUGCCCCAAUCACAAUGUCACAUCUCUACACUAUUUUAUUUUAAAUUUUUUUAUAUAAACUAUUUUUGACACCAAAUUUUGUAUUUCUUAUCCUCUAUUAAACUCGCACUAGUGAAAAAUAUAAAAAAAAUAUUUUCAAUAAAUAAAAUGACCAAAAUACCCUUUAAAUUUUCAACGGGUAUUUUGGUCAUUAUAUUUUUUCGAAAACUUAUUUUUAAUAUUUUUAUAGGUGCAUCCCAAUGAGAAGAUGGCACGUACCAAAUUUUAUAUUCAUACAAUUUGUAUAAAAAAAUUAAAAAUAAAAUACUUUGAGAUGUCGGAUUUAAUAUCAAACGAUGAGUGGCUCUCUUGAUCAAAAUUGGAUGGUUGGAUGGUAGGGGAAGCAUAGAUCUUCUAUGCUGUAGGGGAAGUAUAGAAACCUUUUUUUUUUGGCUUACUACAAACGAGAAAAAUUGGAAAAGUAGAUAUUUUAAAAAUAAAAUAAAAUAAAAUAAGAUGCUUCUAAAUAAGAUGGGCUAGGCCAGGCCUUAUUUGGUUGGGCCAAAAUAUUUCAAGGCUUACCAGGUCACUUCAGGCUGGUCCGGCAAAUAUUGGCUUUCUUGUGGACCGGGCCUGGCCCGGCCCGGAGAAUUGGCAGCCUUAGGUGUAAGUCUCGCCUCCCUUGCUCUCUCUCCACCACAGGACCCUCCACAGUUUCUCUCUCUUCUUUCCUCUCUCAUCCUCUCUCUCUCAGCCUUAGGACCCUCCCCGCUUACUCUCUCUUCUUGCGUCUUUCAUCCUCCCUCUCUCUCUUGC